AUGAACGCUGGCGGCGUGCCUAAUACAUGCAAGUCGAGCGAACGGACGAGAAGCUUGCUUCUCUGAUGUUAGCGGCGGACGGGUGAGUAACACGUGGAUAACCUACCUAUAAGACUGGGAUAACUUCGGGAAACCGGAGCUAAUACCGGAUAAUAUUUUGAACCGCAUGGUUCAAAAGUGAAAGACGGUCUUGCUGUCACUUAUAGAUGGAUCCGCGCUGCAUUAGCUAGUUGGUAAGGUAACGGCUUACCAAGGCAACGAUGCAUAGCCGACCUGAGAGGGUGAUCGGCCACACUGGAACUGAGACACGGUCCAGACUCCUACGGGAGGCAGCAGUAGGGAAUCUUCCGCAAAGGGCGAAAGCCUGACGGAGCAACGCCGCGUGAGUGAUGAAGGUCUUCGGAUCGUAAAACUCUGUUAUUAGGGAAGAACAUAUGUGUAAGUAACUGUGCACAUCCUGACGGUACCUAAUCAGAAAGCCACGGCUAACUACGUG
Molecule: ribosomal RNA, 496 nt
Filed under: uncultured bacterium
Lineage: Bacteria
Description: partial 16S ribosomal RNA
Rfam family: Bacterial small subunit ribosomal RNA
Source: RNAcentral